AGAAGUUGUCCAGGGCUCCCUGAGGGAGGCCAGCACAAGAGCUCUGCCAUAAAAGGACAUUGGACAGAAGUGAAGAGUCCAAUCAGAAACUCUUUUUGAGAGACUGAACGCAAAGCAUUCAGAGAGUCAGCAGGCUGGAGAGGCCAAGACACACACACGAAGAAGGCAGGACACUCUUCUCCUCCUGCGGUUGGACUCCAGGCUCUAUGACCUUCAAACUCCAGGACUUACACCAGUUGCCCCUGGGCACUCAGGACUUCUGCUUCAGACUGACAGUUGCAGGACAGUGCAGCAUUUUAUUUUAAAGAUACCCCACAACGUAGGUGGCCAGUCCUGCUGCAGGGCAGAUACGCUCCCUUGAUUCUGAGGUCUUUGAACUUGCUGUGAAGCCACACUACCUGCGUCCCAGGGUCUCCAGCUUGCAGAUGGACUGUGGUGGGACUUCUCAGUCACCAAGAUUGAGAGCUGUACUAGCCUGGCAUGCAGACAGCAGCUUUAGAAUCAGAUCUGCCUUCUGGCGGCUUCCCACCUAGGAGCCAUGGGACCUUUGUGAAGUCACCAAUUGUGCUGUGGAUGCUUCAUUUGUGAAGGAGAACAGGACUGCCUUGUGAAAUUACGGAUGGUGCUACUAAAACAUAUCAAUAAUUUGAAUUUCACUUUUGUGGAUGCUUUAAACAUCAUAGUCAUUAGAAGGUGGAUCUGGCUGAUUGUACUUUAAGUUUUCAGUUUGAGCUGGAGCUUUGUAUUAUAACAGGAGGGUACUGGACAAGAUGAGGAAACUGAGGUACAGAUGGGAAACUUGCUCAAGUUCACACAGCAAUUAAGUGAUCAAGUCCAAGAGCAAAACCAGGCAGGCUGGCUCCAGAGCUCACGAUAGUCCACCACUGCUUUCCACCAUCACUACGGAAUCAAGUCCAUGAGGAUACUCACCUUAUGUCAGUUGCCUAAGUUGGAAAUUAUAGAAUCUUCAAAUUGGAAGGGACGUUAUCAUCCAAGAUUUCAACUUUCUACUCACUGCAAAAUCCCUUCUGGAACUUCCCAGAUUGAUGAAUUUUCAUCAGCUCUGCUUGAGUACUCCCAGUGACUUGGAAAAAAAACACUGUAAUAUGGAUAUGAAAUAUAAACUGUUCAUGGAUAAAUUAUUGCAUAAUAAAAACAUGCCUAAUGGCUACACUCCCCUAAAAAAAAAAAAAAAAAAAA
This 1200-nucleotide long non-coding RNA is filed under the name Homo sapiens (human). Its description in RNAcentral is "long independently transcribed non-coding RNA 1095 (LINC01095)". The record is from RNAcentral. Lineage: Eukaryota; Metazoa; Chordata; Mammalia; Primates; Hominidae.